This 404-nucleotide ribosomal RNA is filed under the name uncultured prokaryote. Its description in RNAcentral is "bacterial SSU rRNA". It matches the Rfam family "Bacterial small subunit ribosomal RNA", at positions 355 to 776 of the family's 1533-position model. The record is from RNAcentral.
UGGGGGAUAUUGCACAAUGGAGGAAACUCUGAUGCAGCAACGCCGCGUGAGGGAAGAAGGUCUUCGGAUUGUAAAGCUCUGUCUUCAGGGACGAUAAUGACGGUACCUGAGGAGGAAGCCACGGCUAACUACGUGCCAGCAGCCGCGGUAAUACAUAGGUGGCAAGCGUUGUCCGGAUUUACUGGGCGUAAAGGGAGCGUAGGUGGAUAUUUAAGUGGGAUGUGAAAUACUCGGGCUUAACCUGGGUGCUGCAUUCCAAACUGGAUAUCUAGAGUGCAGGAGAGGAAAGUAGAAUUCCUAGUGUAGCGGUGAAAUGCGUAGAGAUCGGGAGGAACACCAGUGGCGAAGGCGGUCUACUGGGCCUUAACUGACGCUGAGGCACGAAAGCAUGGGUAGCAAACAGG